This 32-nucleotide non-coding RNA is filed under the name Macaca fascicularis (crab-eating macaque). Lineage: Eukaryota; Metazoa; Chordata; Mammalia; Primates; Cercopithecidae. RNAcentral also lists the same sequence under 1 other name. The record is from RNAcentral.
UCAAAGUGAUGGGGUGACCGAUGGUCCCUGUU